RNAcentral lists this ribosomal RNA (449 nucleotides) under uncultured bacterium. RNAcentral's name for it is "bacterial SSU rRNA". It matches the Rfam family "Bacterial small subunit ribosomal RNA", at positions 328 to 795 of the family's 1533-position model. The record is from RNAcentral.
CGGCCAGACUCCUACGGGAGGCAGCAGUAGGGAAUCUUUCACAAUGGGCGAAAGCCUGAUGGAGCAACGCCGCGUGCAGGAUGAAGGCCUUCGGGUUGUAAACUGCUUUUAUAAGCGAGAAAUAUGAUGGUAACUUAUGAAUAAGGAUCGGCUAACUACGUGCCAGCAGCCGCGGUAAUACGGAGGAUGCGAGCGUUAUCCGGAUUUAUUGGGUUUAAAGGGUGCGUAGGCGGAAUAUCAAGUCAGCGGUAAAAAUUCGGGGCUCAACCCCGUCGUGCCGUUGAAACUGGCGAACUCGAGAGGGAGAGAAGUAGGCGGAAUGCGCAGUGUAGCGGUGAAAUGCAUAGAUAUUGCGCAGAACUCCGAUUGCGAAGGCAGCCUACCGGCUCCUAUCUGACGCUGAGGCACGAAAGCGUGGGUAUCGAACAGGAUUAGAUACCCUUGUACCC